GGGUUGUGAGGUUAAGCGACUAAGCGUACACGGUGGAUGCCCUGGCAGUCAGAGGCGAUGAAGGACGUGCUAAUCUGCGAUAAGCGUCGGUAAGGUGAUAUGAACCGUUAUAACCGGCGAUUUCCGAAUGGGGAAACCCAGUGUGAUUCGUCACACUAUCAUUAACUGAAUCCAUAGGUUAAUGAGGCGAACCGGGGGAACUGAAACAUCUAAGUACCCCGAGGAAAAGAAAUCAACCGAGAUUCCCCCCAGUAGCGGCGAGCGAACGGGGAGGAGCCCAGAGCCUGAAUCAGUGUGUGUGUUAGUGGAAGCGUCUGGAAAGGCGCGCGAUACAGGGUGACAGCCCCGUACACAAAAAUGCACAUAUUGUGAGCUCGAUGAGUAGGGCGGGACACGUGGUAUCCUGUCUGAAUAUGGGGGGACCAUCCUCCAAGGCUAAAUACUCCUGACUGACCGAUAGUGAACCAGUACCGUGAGGGAAAGGCGAAAAGAACCCCGGCGAGGGGAGUGAAAAAGAACCUGAAACCGUGUACGUACAAGCAGUGGGAGCACGCUUAGGCGUGUGACUGCGUACCUUUUGUAUAAUGGGUCAGCGACUUAUAUUCUGUAGCAAGGUUAACCGAAUAGGGGAGCCGAAGGGAAACCGAGUCUUAACUGGGCGUUAAGUUUCAGGGUAUAGACCCGAAACCCGGUGAUCUAGCCAUGGGCAGGUUGAAGGUUGGGUAACACUAACUGGAGGACCGAACCGACUAAUGUUGAAAAAUUAGCGGAUGACUUGUGGCUGGGGGUGAAAGGCCAAUCAAACCGGGAGAUAGCUGGUUCUCCCCGAAAGCUAUUUAGGUAGCGCCUCGUGAAUUCAUCUCCGGGGGUAGAGCACUGUUUCGGCAAGGGGGUCAUCCCGACUUACCAACCCGAUGCAAACUGCGAAUACCGGAGAAUGUUAUCACGGGAGACACACGGCGGGUGCUAACGUCCGUCGUGAAGAGGGAAACAACCCAGACCGCCAGCUAAGGUCCCAAAGUCAUGGUUAAGUGGGAAACGAUGUGGGAAGGCCCAGACAGCCAGGAUGUUGGCUUAGAAGCAGCCAUCAUUUAAAGAAAGCGUAAUAGCUCACUGGUCGAGUCGGCCUGCGCGGAAGAUGUAACGGGGCUAAACCAUGCACCGAAGCUGCGGCAGCGACGCUUAUGCGUUGUUGGGUAGGGGAGCGUUCUGUAAGCCUGUGAAGGUGUGCUGUGAGGCAUGCUGGAGGUAUCAGAAGUGCGAAUGCUGACAUAAGUAACGAUAAAGCGGGUGAAAAGCCCGCUCGCCGGAAGACCAAGGGUUCCUGUCCAACGUUAAUCGGGGCAGGGUGAGUCGACCCCUAAGGCGAGGCCGAAAGGCGUAGUCGAUGGGAAACAGGUUAAUAUUCCUGUACUUGGUGUUACUGCGAAGGGGGGACGGAGAAGGCUAUGUUGGCCGGGCGACGGUUGUCCCGGUUUAAGCGUGUAGGCUGGUUUUCCAGGCAAAUCCGGAAAAUCAAGGCUGAGGCGUGAUGACGAGGCACUACGGUGCUGAAGCAACAAAUGCCCUGCUUCCAGGAAAAGCCUCUAAGCAUCAGGUAACAUCAAAUCGUACCCCAAACCGACACAGGUGGUCAGGUAGAGAAUACCAAGGCGCUUGAGAGAACUCGGGUGAAGGAACUAGGCAAAAUGGUGCCGUAACUUCGGGAGAAGGCACGCUGAUAUGUAGGUGAAGUCCCUCGCGGAUGGAGCUGAAAUCAGUCGAAGAUACCAGCUGGCUGCAACUGUUUAUUAAAAACACAGCACUGUGCAAACACGAAAGUGGACGUAUACGGUGUGACGCCUGCCCGGUGCCGGAAGGUUAAUUGAUGGGGUUAGCCGCAAGGCGAAGCUCUUGAUCGAAGCCCCGGUAAACGGCGGCCGUAACUAUAACGGUCCUAAGGUAGCGAAAUUCCUUGUCGGGUAAGUUCCGACCUGCACGAAUGGCGUAAUGAUGGCCAGGCUGUCUCCACCCGAGACUCAGUGAAAUUGAACUCGCUGUGAAGAUGCAGUGUACCCGCGGCAAGACGGAAAGACCCCGUGAACCUUUACUAUAGCUUGACACUGAACAUUGAGCCUUGAUGUGUAGGAUAGGUGGGAGGCUUUGAAGUGUGGACGCCAGUCUGCAUGGAGCCGACCUUGAAAUACCACCCUUUAAUGUUUGAUGUUCUAACGUUGACCCGUAAUCCGGGUUGCGGACAGUGUCUGGUGGGUAGUUUGACUGGGGCGGUCUCCUCCUAAAGAGUAACGGAGGAGCACGAAGGUUGGCUAAUCCUACGGUCGGACAUCAGGAGGUUAGUGCAAUGGCAUAAGCCAGCUUGACUGCGAGCGUGACGGCGCGAGCAGGUGCGAAAGCAGGUCAUAGUGAUCCGGUGGUUCUGAAUGGAAGGGCCAUCGCUCAACGGAUAAAAGGUACUCCGGGGAUAACAGGCUGAUACCGCCCAAGAGUUCAUAUCGACGGCGGUGUUUGGCACCUCGAUGUCGGCUCAUCACAUCCUGGGGCUGAAGUAGGUCCCAAGGGUAUGGCUGUUCGCCAUUUAAAGUGGUACGCGAGCUGGGUUUAGAACGUCGUGAGACAGUUCGGUCCCUAUCUGCCGUGGGCGCUGGAGAACUGAGGGGGGCUGCUCCUAGUACGAGAGGACCGGAGUGGACGCAUCACUGGUGUUCGGGUUGUCAUGCCAAUGGCACUGCCCGGUAGCUAAAUGCGGAAGAGAUAAGUGCUGAAAGCAUCUAAGCACGAAACUUGCCCCGAGAUGAGUUCUCCCUGACUCCUUGAGAGUCCUGAAGGAACGUUGAAGACGACGACGUUGAUAGGCCGGGUGUGUAAGCGCAGCGAUGCGUUGAGCUAACCGGUACUAAUGAACCGUGAGGCUUAACCUUACAACGCCGAAGGUGUUU
This 2936-nucleotide ribosomal RNA is filed under the name Escherichia coli. Its description in RNAcentral is "23S ribosomal RNA". It matches the Rfam family "Bacterial large subunit ribosomal RNA". Lineage: Bacteria; Pseudomonadati; Pseudomonadota; Gammaproteobacteria; Enterobacterales; Enterobacteriaceae. The record is from RNAcentral.